UCGGAAUUUUUGUACUUUAAAAAUAAGCCUGGAGAAGCGGGUAAUUUCAAAGAAUAAAAAUGAACUUCUUAAUUGUUAAUAAUUUUAGUACUGGCCAGAUAGUUAAUUUAGUUGACCUUUGAAGUUUUUCUUUAUGAUAAAGAGUGCAAGCAUCUGCGUUUAGAUCGAAACUGGCGUGAUCAUCUGUACCAAAAUCGAGAUGGCAUUGUUGUAGUUGUUUCAGGACGUCGAUCGACACGUGGGAUCGUUUAAUUCAUUAAAAAGAACCCGAAAGAGUUCUUUGUUACUUAGCAGUUAUGAGUUUAUUAAAGAACUUAAUCAACAAGAGUCUUCCGAUGGGGCAGACCUGUCCUAACUUGUGCCAAAAAAGAACGUUUAUCAGCGGUCCGCCGACCCAUUGUGUCUCCACUGGGGAGAAAUGUGUACAUUUCACAACGAUAGGCGUGUCCAUGCUUGUAGUACCGCUGUGGAUUCUAGCUCACAUACGUACCUACAGAGAGAUGAAAAAGUGAUCAUAAUUUUCUUAUUUGGAAUAUCGUCAUUGUAUUUUGAAUUUUGAUUAAUAAAGAAUGACUUGUUAAAA
Molecule: long non-coding RNA, 583 nt
Organism: Cimex lectularius (bed bug)
Lineage: Eukaryota; Metazoa; Arthropoda; Insecta; Hemiptera; Cimicidae
Exons: 2
Source: RefSeq, a predicted model, not a curated record